This 630-nucleotide ribosomal RNA is filed under the name uncultured bacterium. RNAcentral describes it as "bacterial SSU rRNA". It matches the Rfam family "Bacterial small subunit ribosomal RNA", at positions 28 to 660 of the family's 1533-position model. The record is from RNAcentral.
GAUGAACGCUGGCGGCGUGCUUAACACAUGCAAGUCGAGCGAGAAGUUUUGAAAAGAUUCUUCGGAUGAAAUUUAAAAUGGAAAGCGGCGGACGGGUGAGUAACGCGUAGGCAACCUGCCCCAUACAAAGGGAUAGCAUUUGGAAACGAAUAUUAAUACCUUAUGAAACUUAACUAGUGCAUGCUAGGUAGGUCAAAGAUUUAUCGGUAUGGGAUGGGCCUGCGUCUGAUUAGCUAGUUGGUGAGGUAACGGCUCACCAAGGCGACGAUCAGUAGCCGACCUGAGAGGGUGAACGGCCACAUUGGAACUGAGACACGGUCCAAACUCCUACGGGAGGCAGCAGUGGGGAAUAUUGCACAAUGGGGGAAACCCUGAUGCAGCAACGCCUCGUGAACGAUGAAGGCCUUUGGGUCGUAAAGUUCUGUUCUAGGUGAUGAAAACUGACAGUAACCUAGGAGAAAGCCCCGGCUAACUCCCUGCCAGCAGCCGCGGUAAUACGGAGGGGGCAAUUGUUAUCCGGAAUUAUUGGGCGUAAAGGGCCGUAGGUGGCCUUUUAAGCGUAUGGUAUAAGGGAAUGGCUCAACCAUUGUUCGCCCUAUGAACUGUUAGGCUUGAGUGCAGGAUAGGAGA